Molecule: long non-coding RNA, 2008 nt
Organism: Sycon ciliatum
Lineage: Eukaryota; Metazoa; Porifera; Calcarea; Leucosolenida; Sycettidae
Exons: 2
Source: RefSeq, a predicted model, not a curated record
UCUAUGGAGGACCUCAAUCAGGCUCCGGAUGAUCUACUAGUUACUACUUUGAAGUACAUGUGUGAACUCGGGGUACAGUCGAGUCGUGACGACUCAUGUUGACUCGGGGACAGUCUACGAUCAUUCAUGGAUGGAAAAAUAGCCAGAAAGGUCAAACGAGGAAGAGAAUGAGAUCGAGAGCGAGAGAGAGAGAGGGAGUUGUACAAACCCCGCGUUUGCGGUAGUGUAGAUCUACAUCCCUGUAGAACUCCAAAAUUAAUAUCCCUGGAUUUCACACCGCUUCAAGCGGCUUGGCAGUCCUCACCUUCAAGCGAAUCAAGGCCUUGGCUAGUGCAAGCAGUAUGUGCCGCGCCAAGAGGCGACAAGGGAGGGUGACCGGUGGUUAGUUCGGCACGAAAGAAACGUGUGAAUGACGCGUCGUGGGUAUAAGAGGCGCCCAGCAGCGCUUUCGCCACUUCUCUGUCGUUCCAUGACAAUAUCGUAUUACUAUCCUACUCUCCAGGCCAGCCAACUGGACCGUCUAUCGUCAGUAUCGUGCACGGGAGUCCUCCCGUCUCGGUGCAUAUACUACUAUGCUAGUAUGUAGAAACCUUUCCUACAGUAGAAGUAUUAUUCUGCCAGCAACAGUCCGUGAACAUAGAGACCGGAAGGCUCUCUCGAAAUUUAGCAAGGAAGGACAAGUGGGCUCGGCUGGGCGACAGUCGACAGCAGUUUCGUCUUCAAGCUGCCAAUCAGCGCGUUGUACCGAGGAGCAGAACUACAGCUUACUUCAAGUCCCGGAAGGACUCUGGAGAGCGGGAGGAGGCCUGCACUGCCGCUGUUCGGGUGGAGAGGAGGGUAAGCGAAGGCUUUGGACUUUGGAGCGCGGGUGAUACUGUUAUGAUAACAAUUCGUUCAAGGCGACACUGAGUAUUUGAAGUCUCCUCUGUUCUGGACUCUGGCUUUGCUCGUAUCGGUGUUCUCGGGUUCCCUGUAAAGAAGGAGGUCCGAGUGUGGUUCUGCAAUUGACGUCGGAAGGAGAAAUUGCAACUGGUUGCAAUGGAAAUCACGCACAUGGCAUCUUCAGGAUACAGCACAGAGAACACAAAGGCCUAUCAUCACCCGCAGAACCCUCAUUCCCAUCAUGCACAGCCCAGGUCUGGCAAUCCUCACGUAUGGCUCUGGACAAGGCGUGCUGAUGGCUUAUGGGCAUUCGGCUCUCAUGCCCAAAGAGGAUAUCAGGACACCGGCAAAUAGCAUGCUGAUGAUACCAGCUCUUCGCAAAAGAAAGCGUCGUCUCGUGCUGGAUCAAGACAAAAGAAUUUUUUGGAGGAGAGCUUCAGAAUGCAGCCAAGACCAUCGCCGGAAGAUCUCGGCCGUAUUGCUCACAUGCUCAAUCUGGAGAACUCGGGUGUCAGUUGAGUACUUUGGUUGUUCGUUGUUGGAUGUCAGUCUUGUGCAAUGUCCUCCCUAGUCGCUAAUCAUUUGGUUUUCAACAUGCUGUCAACCGUCCAACAUGUUAAAACUAUCAAACAAGGCUUACAGUCAUCAUACCAUCCAUCUACAUGUAGCUACACAACUACCGUUACCCUGCUAGACUAUCUACAUGUAGCUACAUAGCACUGCACUGCUGGGCUAUGCUUGCGGCAGUUACGCUUACGUAGUGAGGGCAUGCUUGGAGUUGUCCACCCCAGCCACAGGUGUCUAGGUAUAGGAAGCACACAGGUGAUUUUCAUCAUGUUAUUGCCUAGCUGUUUACAGGUAUACCUAACAAUUGGACUGAAACGAAUCAUUCAAUAACUCCUAACGAUCACCCGGCGAUACCAGUACCAAUCAAUAGAUUGGUUUUACCGAUUCUUGCCGGCUGUACUCCAUGUACCUCGAACACCAGGCCAUGAAGACAUUUCAUGAUGCCGUUGCUAUAUUUGAAUAGUGUGACCAUCAGUCGAAGAGUAAAAAUGUACCCAGGGUCAAUUACCGAUUUUGGGGUAUUCUGCUGUAAACAUUCGAGACAAUGUGUAUUACCGCA